This 253-nucleotide ribosomal RNA is filed under the name uncultured prokaryote. Its description in RNAcentral is "partial 16S ribosomal RNA". It matches the Rfam family "Bacterial small subunit ribosomal RNA", at positions 524 to 776 of the family's 1533-position model. The record is from RNAcentral.
UACAGAGGGGGCAAGCGUUGUUCGGAAUUACUGGGCGUAAAGGGCGCGUAGGCGGCCUGUUAAGUCGAACGUGAAAUCCCCGGGCUCAACCCGGGAACUGCGUCCGAAACUGGCAGGCUAGAAUUCGGGAGAGGGAUGCGGAAUUCCAGGUGUAGCGGUGAAAUGCGUAGAUAUCUGGAGGAACAUCGGUGGCGAAGGCGGCAUCCUGGACCGAUAUUGACGCUGAGGCGCGAAAGCCAGGGGAGCAAACGGG